This 640-nucleotide long non-coding RNA is filed under the name Ananas comosus (pineapple). RNAcentral describes it as "long non-coding RNA (ACOM_LNC029546)". Lineage: Eukaryota; Viridiplantae; Streptophyta; Magnoliopsida; Poales; Bromeliaceae. The record is from RNAcentral.
CCUCAACAGCUCACCCACUAAGUCUACAGAAAGUAUCCUCACUGAUAGUAAAGGAAGCUGGAAAACUCUACAGCUACAUGUCCCUAUACUAUCGCUAACCAACAUUAGCUAUUUGUAGAUAUAAGCAAUAUGCAAUCUCUGACCCAAUCUCACUAAGGACUUUGAACACAUCCGUCCCGCCUGUCGAAACUACACCAACCACCACCACGCUAGAUUGUUGGUGGAGAGCAAGUCCAACCAGGACACUACGACAUAUACUCAAACGCACAAAGCCCGACUUCGGAGUUGCACUCGUAGGCGCUACCUAACCGAGUAUGCAAGCGUGUCUCUGCCGAGCUCAAUCAGGCUCUCACAGGCUAUAGUCAAAGCAAGUAGGUCUAACUGGUCUAACAAUCAAAACUCACGUGCCCUUGGCACAAUCCGAUGCAAAAACAGCAAACUGGGUCCACCGUCAACUGCGACGGCACCCGACAGUACAGAACAGUCUAUACACUACUGUAAAAUAAACUCGGCAUCUGAGCACGAGCGUAAACUCAUCCUACACUAAUCUGGAUAUCCACCGCAUACAAAUUGUGGCGAUACAAACAAACUAUAACUCCUAAAGCUAAAUUUGGUAGUUUUCAGAAAAUGAUAGUGUAGG